RNAcentral lists this ribosomal RNA (396 nucleotides) under uncultured bacterium. RNAcentral describes it as "partial 16S ribosomal RNA". It matches the Rfam family "Bacterial small subunit ribosomal RNA", at positions 523 to 918 of the family's 1533-position model. The record is from RNAcentral.
AUACGUAGGGAGCGAGCGUUGUCCGGAAUUACUGGGUGUAAAGGGAGCGUAGGCGGGAGUGCAAGUCAGAUGUGAAAUACAUGGGCUCAACCCAUGGGCUGCAUUUGAAACUGCAUUUCUUGAGUGAAGUAGAGGUAAGCGGAAUUCCUGGUGUAGCGGUGAAAUGCGUAGAUAUCAGGAGGAACACCGGUGGCGAGGGCGGCUUACUGGGCUUUUACUGACGCUGAGGCUCGAAAGCGUGGGGAGCAAACAGGAUUAGAUACCCUGGUAGUCCACGCUGUAAACGAUGAUUACUAGGUGUGGGGGGACUGACCCCUUCCGUGCCGCAGUUAACACAAUAAGUAAUCCACCUGGGGAGUACGGCCGCAAGGUUGAAACUCAAAUGAAUUGACGGGG